AAGCGCUUGCAACCAGACCUGCCUGCAGUUGCUCAUCCGUGGCUUUUGCCCGGUGCACUCUUCUGCUGUCAGGCCAGCAUCAGUUCGGGCGGUCGGAUAAAGGCUUCGGGAAUGUAGCUCCUCUCGGGGAGUGUUAUAGCCCGUUGCGAAAUGCGGCCAGCCUGGACUGAGGUCCGCGCUUCGGCUAGGAUGCUGGCGUAAUGGUUGUAAGCGGCCCGUCUUGAAACACGGACCAAGGAGUCUAACAUCUGUGCGAGUGUUUGGGUGUUAAACCCGUACGCGUAAUGAAAGUGAACGGAGGCGGGAACCCCUCGGGGUGCACCGUCGACCGAUCCUGAUGUCUUCGGAUGGAUUUGAGUAAGAGCAUAGCUGUUGGGACCCGAAAGAUGGUGAACUAUGCCUGAAUAGGGUGAAGCCAGAGGAAACUCUGGUGGAGGCUCGCAGCGGUUCUGACGUGCAAAUCGAUCGUCAAAUUUGGGCAUAGGGGCGAAAGACUAAUCGAACUAUCUAGUAGCUGGUUCCUGCCGAAGUUUCCCUCAGGAUAGCAGUAACGUUUUCAGUUUUAUGAGGUAAAGCGAAUGAUUAGAGGCCUGGGGGUUGAAACAACCUUCACCUAUUCUCAAACUUUAAAUAUGUAAGAAGUCCUUGUUGCUCAGUUGAACGUGGACAUUUGAAUGUAUCGUUACUAGUGGGCCAUUUUUGGUAAGCAGAACUGGCGAUGCGGGAUGAACCGAACGCGGAGUUAAGGUGCCGGAAUGCACGCUCAUCAGACACCACAAAAGGUGUUAGUUCAUCUAG
Molecule: ribosomal RNA, 798 nt
Filed under: uncultured Ascomycota
Lineage: Eukaryota; Fungi; Ascomycota
Description: LSU rRNA
Rfam family: Eukaryotic large subunit ribosomal RNA
Source: RNAcentral